Fukomys damarensis (Damara mole-rat) is the source of this 1001-nucleotide long non-coding RNA. RefSeq lists it as uncharacterized. NCBI's taxonomy places the organism in Eukaryota, Metazoa, Chordata, Mammalia, Rodentia, Bathyergidae. The transcript is spliced from 3 exons. The record is from RefSeq and is a predicted model, not a curated record.
UUUUCUCCGUAUGUUUCUUUCUCUUUGUGAUGAAAAAAAUCCAAGAGGUACUUGUGUACAAAGCUGUGUACUUGGAAUAUUUCCUACCAUGAUUCUUAUAAAUUAAACAUAUGUAUGUGAAGCCAGUGGGUUUUUUAGGAAUAGGGACUGUGACUUAAUGGCCUACAUCCCCAGUGACAUGUGGAGUCUUUAUGCCUGACACAGCACAUACUCAAGAAAGUAACUAGAGACUGGGGUUUUUAGGAUAACAAAUCCAAGGCCAGGAUAGAAAGGAGAGUCGGAUAGAGUACAAGGUCUGCCAGGGAGCAGGGUGAAUAAACCAAAGAGAAAAGAUAGUGCUUUGGGCCUGGGCCCGAAACUAUAUAUACUUAUGUUUACAGCUCAGAACCAAAAAUACAGUACAAAGAAGCUUAGCUUUUCUGUCACUAUGCUAUGACUUACCAGACUUCAUGAAGCUGCAGUUACUUUGAACAUGAGGGGCUAAUGCUAGUGGAUUUGCAGCACCAAAUGCACCUCACCACGUGGCUUUUGUAGAAGGGAACUUUGCAGACUGCUGUGGAAUGAUUUAAGGGUGCGAAUUGCCUGGAGGGGGACAAAGUAAAGUCAGAUGCAACUUGAUAGGAUGCCCUGAGAAGAUCGCUCCUGCCAGAAGGAGCAUAACCUGAAUCUAGUCAGGAGGAUUUAUCAAGCAAAACUAACUAAAGAUGGUUUCUACUUUAUCUUUUAAGAACUUGUGAAGACUUUGUCCCUGUAUGGAAAGCUGGGAUGUGAGCUUCCACAGACUUUGGUGUCGUCUGUAAAGCAGCACACAGAAACCAGUGAGUGAGCCCACAACCUACUCUGUGAGUGGGGCAAGCUGGGUUCCAUCUCUUCUUUGGGGGAACCUCUGCAGCCACUAGAGGUGAAUGAAGAAGCCUCCGGAUGAUAGAAGUCCUGGCCACCAUCUCAUAGAGAACCACCUACCUUGCUCUAUUCCACCUGCAGAAAUUAGAGAUUUGACA